GUAAUGUCAUCUUACAGAUAAGGAGACUGAGGCUCAGAGAUGCUAAUUAUCUUCUCUGAGGCCAUACAGGUACGAUACAGGGGAGCUGGGAUACCACCCCAGGCAGUCUGACUACAAAGCAAGUACUCUGGUUGCUAUCCUGCACUACACGCAGCAGGAAAAUAAACAGACUUACGAGAGUAGUAUGCUCUGUGUUGGGCACCAACUCCUGCUUCCUGGAUUCUUAUCUUCUGGACAUUCUGGAAUGACCUCAGCUGAUGGAACACUCCUGCCUCAUGGCUUACCUCUUACUGCUCUCCACAGAGGAGGAGCGAGCCUAGCAGGCCAGACAAGGCGGAAGCACAGGUGGCAUCGGCUCUAGGACAGUCUGCUCCAGUCAUAGAGGGAUUUUCCUCUCAAAAUGAAUGGGUAUGUGAUGCCCAGGUAUGCAGUAGCCAUCUUAAGACCGUGAGGAUGAAGACUAUAUGCAAAGGGGGCAGAACAGGAAGACUGAAGACUACCCCUUGGCUUAUCACCUCUGGACUUACUGUUAAAUGAGGAAAAAUGAACUAUUUAAUUAAACUGCUGUGGUUGUUUCUCAGUUAUAUGCAGCCAAACACAAUUCUAUCAGAAAGGGCUAAAGUGGCAUUCACUGCUAACCGAGACAUACAAACUGUUUCUUUAGCCAAAGACACAACUAAUAAUGUAACGGUUCUGCUGGGUUGGGUAUUCUCAUUAUCCUUCGAACGCCUCUGAAACUAGGGUACAUGGGAGUUAACAAUGGAAAGUGGACCAAGAAGGCAUUCUUCAAAUUGCAAUGCUUUUAUUAGAAUAUUAUUAAUUGCAGAUUUUUAAAAAACUACACACAUGGAAAAAGGAGAACACUCAGAAAUACUAUUACAGAUUAGGCAAAUUAGUAGGAUGAAAAAGAUUUCUUCAGUGUAUACAAAAUGUAAACAUUUGCCCUGGGAUUUCCCACAGAUGGCACAGUCCACAAGGACUUAUUUGGAAUAAAAAUAUGU
This is a long non-coding RNA of Balaenoptera ricei (Rice's whale), 1001 nucleotides long. RefSeq lists it as uncharacterized. The transcript is spliced from 3 exons. Lineage: Eukaryota; Metazoa; Chordata; Mammalia; Artiodactyla; Balaenopteridae. The record is from RefSeq and is a predicted model, not a curated record.